CCAGAAUAUGUCAAAAUACUCAGCGAUGUCCUUCACCAUGGUGGGAACUCAACGGUGGCACGUAUGGCUGCGGGUAUUCAACUGAAGAAUACAUUAGCCUCAAAUGAUGCCAAAGUUAAAGUACAGUACCAACAGCGCUGGUUGGCAUUCCCUCCAGAUGUCAGGGACUACGUUAAAAGUAAUGUUGUUGGGGCACUGGGCACAGAACAGAAUCGUCCUAGUUCUGCUGCUCAGUGCGUAGCCUACAUAGCACUCACAGAAAUCCCUGUUGGGCAAUGGCCAGACCUUAUUGACAAGUUAGUGGCCAAUGUGACUGCUCCUGGGGCAACGGAUAUGACCAAAGAAUCUACUUUAGAAGCAAUUGGAUAUAUAUGUCAGGAUAUUGAACCAGAGGCUAUAGCAGCUCAGAGCAACAACAUUCUUACUGCCAUUGUCCAUGGGAUGAAACGUGAUGAACCAAAUGAUCAUGUUAGACUGGCAGCAACAACAGCUCUUCUCAACUCCUUAGAAUUUACAAGACAGAAUUUUGAGAGAGAUGCUGAACGACACUUCAUAAUGCAGGUGGUCUGUGAAGCAACACAAUCAACGAAUACCCAGAUUAAAGUGGCAGCGCUGCAGUGUCUUGUGAAAAUAAUGUCUCUAUAUUAUCAGUAUAUGGAACACUACAUGGGUCCUGCAUUAUUUGCAAUUACACUAGAAGCCAUGAAGAGUGACAUUGAUGAGGUGGCACUUCAGGGAAUUGAGUUUUGGUCCAAUGUAUGUGAUGAAGAAGUUGAUCUUGCUAUAGAAGCUUCUGAAGCUGCUGAACUUGGCCGUCCACCAGAGAGGACAUCCAGAUUUUAUGCUAAGGGUGCUUUACAGUACCUUGUACCUGUGUUGAUGAUGACAUUAAGCAAGCAGGAAGAAGCAGAUGAUGAUGAUGAGUGGAAUCCAUGCAAAGCUGCUGGAGUCUGCGUUAUGCUCUUGGCUACUUGUACAGAAGAUGAUAUUGUGCCACAUGUUCUUCCAUUUGUCAAAGAAAAUAUAAAGAACUCAAAUUGGAGACUGCGUGAUGCUGCCAUUAUGGCAUUUGAGACCUUUGCUCAGUGUUUGGGGCUGACAUGCUGCAGUUGGUUGAAACAGAUCCCAUUACUAGCCUCCUCACACAAGGCCGCCGUUCCAAGACUUCAAAGACAAAGACAUUGGCCAUGUGGGCAACAAAAGAAAUUCGCCGCCUGAAAAGUAACAGUAGUUGCGAAAUAUCAUCACUGCUGGAUGAGGCGCCUCUGAUAGUAGUCCAGUAGUCCGUAAGACAACCCCUAACUUGGCUUUUCAGAUGAGUGCGGAGUUUAGUCUGUGGUGAGUCAGAUGCGGUGUGUCUGCAUGGAGUGAGGAAGAGCGUUGCCCGCCUGUGGUGAGUGGUAACCGUUCAGCGCAUGGGUUGUGUGGUGAGUGGACAGACAAACGUGGACAAUCGCAAGUGCGGCAGUUAUGGCCAAAUGUGCGAUGACAACCGGAUGGCAUCGGAAGAGUGUGGAAAUACAUGAAGAAUUUUCAUAUAUGACGGGAAUAUCUUUUCUAGGCGACUUAUCAGAGAUAAUUAGUUACAGUGAAUCAUUCCACCUCCCAGGAAAAGAUCUGCCUCAAUUGAUCUAUAAAGAACUUAGCAUUUCCAAAGUAAGUCCUGUUUUUUAACUAUGGUUUUAGAAAGCCAGUCCUUUCAAGUGCCUUUAUGUGGGAAUGAAUGGUGCUGUAGCCGUGAAUCAUGUACCCUUCUGGUAACAAUCCAUCUAUGAAGAAAUGGCAGAAUUAUAAGGUGUUCUCUGGUUUCUAGUCAAGGGUACAAAAAUUUUUUUUUUACUAACCCUUCCACUGUCAGUAAGAUAAAUCUAUUUUAUAGGCAGGGUAGCUCUUGCUGCAUUCCAAUUUAGAUGUUUACAAGACACUUCUUUUUCUCGUGCUUUCCAAGAAUAAAGUACGGUAUAUAGUAAAUGUAUGGAGGAACCUGGUAAGUUCCUAACUUGUAAAAUAACUUUGUAAAAUAUUAAUACUUGUAAACAUCAGCUUGAGAUGUGCAGUUGUCUCCCAUUAAUGUACCUCUUUAGUUAAUCUCUUCAAUUCUUUGGUGACAGCACUUGUGUGUUUAGGGCACUAGAAUGGGAUACGGCUGUAGUGGUUCUGUUGAUGGCAUUUUGAGGCAGUUGGUAUUGAGACGUCAAAUUCAUUAGGCCAUAAUUGAUGGUAACCCCAAAUAGCUCUCAGAGUUAGCAAUAAUGAACUUUUAAAUGGGUUACCUGUUAACUCCAGGUGGUAAAUUUCAAAAUGAAAAGGUAAAUAUUCCCCGUUAGCUUCUCAUGAAUGAUGUAUAAAACUGUGUGCUGCUGUGCCUGACCAUAGUGAUUUGAACUACAAUGUUUGUAACAGUAUCAGCCAUUUUUAGUUUGUGAUAUGAGGCUGUUCUCAAAAUUUAAGUUGGCCUCACCAGCCUGCAGUUAUUCUUGUUUGCUGAUUGUUACAAUUUGUAUGUCAAAGAGCCCUAAAUGUGCAGUGUGAUGAGGCAAGAAGUCUGAAAGUUUUUGGAAGAUCCUUACUGUAACCCUUGUCAGCAGUGUUUUUGACUUAGACAUUUGUAUGGAUGAAUAAUAAUUCAUUUGGGUUAAGCUUUUCUUCCAUUAACUUAAGGGGUUUUAGGUUUAGUGCCAAAUUCCCCAUUAAAUGGUUAAAGUGGUACAAUGGUAAAAGGCAAUGUGAAGCCAGCACUGGUUUUAAAUCUAGAUCUCUCUUGAAGUCAGUGUUUGACAGCAUAACAUUUGUUUUCAGCAUAUUGUUGAUUGCAUAUUAAAUAUUAGCUGUGUAUUAAAUUAAAGCAGAGUUGAAUGGAAUGUUGUAGUAUGAAACACUGUUUAAGAAGGAACUGAUUUAAAUAAAUGCCAUACAUGAUGACCACAGAAGGAAUCAAUUUACUGCAGUCCUGUGACUGGUGAAUGUUUGACUGUGAUAAGAGGCCCUGUGUGAUAUGGCACUCUGUAAGCAUGUGGUGCAAGCUAAGUGUAGUCCAGUAUUGUUUGUAUUCAAAAGCAGUAUGGGGUAUCCUAUUGCUUUAACAAAAAAUGGAAAAAUUCUGAAUGAAGACAUGAGUAAUAGGGUUCCCAGUGUGUGAUUUGGACUGAAUAUGAAGCGGAAGGCGUGCAUCCAGUGCUUUUCUCUUCGCCAAGUUAGCACAUUUUCCUCAUGUCAGAAACCACAGGAGUCUUGUGGUGAAGCUAUACCAUUUUCUCCUGGAUCUGUCAUGCCAUCCCCUCCCCUCCAGUAACAUGACUCAGUGACUGAGGGUGUGAGUGCAAAUUUAGUCGUUCUUGAAGGACGUGUGACUGUGAUACUGUGUUCCUUUAGUGCAAAUGUUACUGUGCGAGUGUGUACAUUCCACCAAGCGGUGUAGUAUUUUGUAGUGUACAGAAAAACAAAAACACAAGCUUUACAAAUGAACCUGCUGCAGAAGUUCACAAGUUUAGCUGAUGUAGUAAUGUAUCUUUGUUAUUGCCUCAAAGAUAGGUGAGCUUUGUGUCUGAAAUUUACUCACUAAAGUUAUUCUUGACAUAUACGUGAUCUACUUUCAGUAAGUGUGGACAAACCUAGUGUAUAUUUUUUCACAAUCCCUGUUGAUAUAUGUUCAUUUAUAAUUUGAAUAAGUCAUUCGGUACUGUAAGGCUAAUAAUUUUUCUUUAAACCCUGUACCAUAUUUACGAAUGCAAAAAUUUGAAUAAAUAAGUUUGAGAGAGA
This is a non-coding RNA of Cherax quadricarinatus, 3759 nucleotides long. The record is from RefSeq and is a predicted model, not a curated record. Lineage: Eukaryota; Metazoa; Arthropoda; Malacostraca; Decapoda; Parastacidae.